Molecule: non-coding RNA, 78 nt
Organism: Salmo salar (Atlantic salmon)
Lineage: Eukaryota; Metazoa; Chordata; Actinopteri; Salmoniformes; Salmonidae
Source: Rfam
UGGCUCAGUUGGUAGAGCAUGGUGCUUGCAACGCCAUCAUGGUGUGUGCAACGCCAGGGUUGUGGGUUCGAUUCCCAC